UCUACCGCGCCCCACAGGGAAAUGUGCAACGAAAGCACCUGGAAUGACACAACGCUUGUGCUCAAGCAGCCACAGCUCUGUCGAGUGAAAACUGCCAAAGGUGUCUUCUCGAAAAUGAAGUGUUUAUUAUUUAUGCUUUCUUUUAAAAAAAAAAAAGUAAUUGCAUUUCAUUGUUUCCAUGUUAUCGCAGUCAGUAUUAAUGAAUGGAGGAAUGUAAGGUAGCACUUUAUUGAAAGCAAAGAGGUACAGCGUCCGUUUGAGAGAUUGUU
Thalassophryne amazonica is the source of this 269-nucleotide long non-coding RNA. RefSeq lists it as uncharacterized. The record is from RefSeq and is a predicted model, not a curated record. Lineage: Eukaryota; Metazoa; Chordata; Actinopteri; Batrachoidiformes; Batrachoididae. The transcript has 3 exons.